Molecule: ribosomal RNA, 468 nt
Filed under: uncultured bacterium
Lineage: Bacteria
Description: partial 16S ribosomal RNA
Rfam family: Bacterial small subunit ribosomal RNA
Source: RNAcentral
GACGAACGCUGGCGGCGUGCUUAACACAUGCAAGUCGAACGGAAAGGCCCUGCUUUUGUGGGGUGCUCGAGUGGCGAACGGGUGAGUAACACGUGAGUAAUCUGCCCUUGACUUUGGGAUAACUUCAGGAAACUGGGGCUAAUACCGGAUAGGAGCUCCUGCUGCAUGGUGGGGGUUGGAAAGUUUCGGCGGUUGGGGAUGGACUCGCGGCUUAUCAGCUUGUUGGUGGGGCAGUGGCUUACCAAGGCUUUGACGGGUAGCCGGCCUGAGAGGGUGACCGGCCACAUUGGGACUGAGAUACGGCCCAGACUCCUACGGGAGGCAGCAGUGGGGAAUAUUGCACAAUGGGCGGAAGCCUGAUGCAGCAACGCCGCGUGCGGGAUGACGGCCUUCGGGUUGUAAACCGCUUUCGCCUGUGACGAAGCGUGAGUGACGGUAAUGGGUAAAGAAGCACCGGCUAACUACGUG